Long non-coding RNA from Salvelinus fontinalis (brook trout), 420 nucleotides. RefSeq lists it as uncharacterized. NCBI's taxonomy places the organism in Eukaryota, Metazoa, Chordata, Actinopteri, Salmoniformes, Salmonidae. The transcript is spliced from 2 exons. The record is from RefSeq and is a predicted model, not a curated record.
UUUCAUCCCCAGUGGGCGUGCAUUACUGCUCUAUAUUUAUUCCCAGAUGCUUUCGACAUGGUUAGCAGGCUGAGGGAGGCGCUGCCGUUGGAGAGAGUGUGUUCAAAGAAGCAGGAUGUUGGUGGGCGGAGCCUUGAGGGUUGUCAGCGAAAUGAGACACACCUGGGCCCGGGUGUGUCCCGGGAUAAAUACACCUCUUCCCCAUUCAUUGAGGAGACUCUCCAGGCAGACAUGCUGUUGGAUUUUGGUUGUGGCAUUUUUGGAGGCCAUUUUGUUUUGUUUUCUUGCUUUGGCACCUUUCAACACCCCUCAUUAUCACAUCUAUGCAUGCAACCACUCACUUACACUACUGACUACAUACACCAUUGUUUAUUGUAUAUAGGUUACUUCAGUUAUUAAAUAUAUUUUUGUUUUUCCUUA